This 270-nucleotide ribosomal RNA is filed under the name uncultured bacterium. Its description in RNAcentral is "partial 16S ribosomal RNA". It matches the Rfam family "Bacterial small subunit ribosomal RNA", at positions 15 to 283 of the family's 1533-position model. The record is from RNAcentral.
GAUCAUGGCUCAGGAUGAACGCUGGCGGCGCGCCUAACACAUGCAAGUCGAACGGCACCCACCCUCGGGUGGAAGCGAGUGGCGAACGGCUGAGUAACACGUGGAGAACCCGCCCCCUCCUCCGGGAUAGCCUCGGGAAACCGUGGGUAAUACCGGAUGACCCCGCAGGGCCGCAUGGCCCCGCGGGCAAAGCCCAGACGGGAGGGGAUGGCUCCGCGGCCCGACUCAGGUAGACGGCGGGGUGGACGGCCCGACCGUGCCGACGACGGG